AGAUGGCGACCGGCGCACGGGUGAGUAACACGUAUCCAACCUGCCGAUAACUCGGGGAUAGCCUUUCGAAAGAAAGAUUAAUACCCGAUGGCAUAAUUAGACCGCAUGGUCUUAUUAUUAAAGAAUUUCGGUUAUCGAUGGGGAUGCGUUCCAUUAGGCAGUUGGUGAGGUAACGGCUCACCAAACCUUCGAUGGAUAGGGGUUCUGAGAGGAAGGUCCCCCACAUUGGAACUGAGACACGGUCAA
Molecule: ribosomal RNA, 246 nt
Filed under: uncultured bacterium
Lineage: Bacteria
Description: partial 16S ribosomal RNA
Rfam family: Bacterial small subunit ribosomal RNA
Source: RNAcentral